This 460-nucleotide ribosomal RNA is filed under the name uncultured bacterium. RNAcentral's name for it is "partial 16S ribosomal RNA". It matches the Rfam family "Bacterial small subunit ribosomal RNA", at positions 338 to 795 of the family's 1533-position model. The record is from RNAcentral.
CCUACGGGAGGCAGCAGUGAGGAAUAUUGGUCAAUGGGCGGAAGCCUGAACCAGCCAAGUAGCGUGCAGGAUGACGGCCCUACGGGUUGUAAACUGCUUUUAUACGGGAAUAACGCGCCUUACGUGUAGGGCCUUGCAUGUACCGUAUGAAUAAGGACCGGCUAAUUCCGUGCCAGCAGCCGCGGUAAUACGGAAGGUCCGGGCGUUAUCCGGAUUUAUUGGGUUUAAAGGGAGCGUAGGCCGGAUGUCAAGCGUGCUGUGAAAUGUCCGGGCUCAACCCGGGCCUUGCAGCGCGAACUGGCGUGCUUGAGUCCGCGGAAAGCAGGCGGAAUUCGUCGUGUAGCGGUGAAAUGCUUAGAUAUGACGAAGAACCCCGAUUGCGAAGGCAGCUUGCUGCAGCGGAACUGACGCUGAUGCUCGAAAGCGCGGGGAUCGAACAGGAUUAGAUACCCUUGUAGUC